Molecule: ribosomal RNA, 500 nt
Filed under: uncultured bacterium
Lineage: Bacteria
Description: partial 16S ribosomal RNA
Rfam family: Bacterial small subunit ribosomal RNA
Source: RNAcentral
AUUGAACGCUGGCGGAAUGCUUUACACAUGCAUGUCGAACGGCAGCUCGGACUUCGGUCUGGUGGCGAGUGGCGAACGGGUGAGUAAUGUAUCGGAACGUGCCCAGUCGUGGGGGAUAACGUAGUGAAAAUUACGCUAAUACCGCAUACGAUCUAUGGAUGAAAGCGGGGGAUCGCAAGACCUCGCGCGAUUGGAGCGGCCGAUAUCAGAUUAGGUAGUUGGUGGGGUAAAGGCCCACCAAGCCAACGAUCUGUAGCUGGGCGGAGAGGACGACCAGCCACACUGGAACUGAGACACGGUCCAGACUCCUACGGGAGGCAGCAGUGGGGAAUUUUGGACAAUGGGCGAAAGCCUGAUCCAGCCAUUCCGCGUGCAGGAUGAAGGCCCUCGGGUUGUAAACUGCUUUUGUACAGAACGAAAGGGUUUCUACUAAUACUAGGAGCUCAUGACGGUACUGUAAGAAUAAGCACCGGCUAACUACGUGCCAGCCGCCGCCGUAA